Non-coding RNA from Schizosaccharomyces pombe (fission yeast), 351 nucleotides. NCBI's taxonomy places the organism in Eukaryota, Fungi, Ascomycota, Schizosaccharomycetes, Schizosaccharomycetales, Schizosaccharomycetaceae. The record is from the annotation of a GenBank genome assembly.
CUGUGUCCCCAGUCCUUUACUCUUUCCUUGACUAAAGCUUUCAUUGGAGCAAUAUAAACUACUUUCGACUUAGGAUAAUUGUGAAGAGCUCUCCAAGUAGCUAAUUCUGCGGCCAUAGUUUUACCAGAUCCAGUAGGUGCACCAACGAAAAUAUUUGUAUCGGUGUGAUAAAUAGUGUGAAAAAAUUGAGUUUGGACUGCAUUAAAAAACGAGAAUCUUUUAGCGCAUAUACCUUCUAGCACUGGAUCGUGCAAAGCCGUAAUUGGUAAAGGUUGAAGAUCCAAUAAUUCUGUAAUGGGAUUGGAAUCGUCAUGAAAAACAACAUUAGAAAGAGAAACCGGGGUAACUGUU